GACGAACGCUGGCGGCGUGCUUAACACAUGCAAGUCGAACGGAAAGGCCCUGCUCUUGUUGGGUGCUCGAGUGGCGAACGGGUGAGUAACACGUGUGUAUCCUGCCCUUGACUUUGUGAUAACUUCAGGAAACUCCGGCUCAUACCGGGUAGGAUCUCCUGCUGCAUGUUGUUCGUUGGAAAGUUUCGGCUGUUGUGGAUUGACUCGCUGCUUAUCAGCUUGUUGGUGGGGUAGUUGCUUACCAAGGCUUUGACGGCUAGCCGGCCUGAGAGGGUUACCGGGCACAAGGGGACUGAGAGACGGAGCAGAAGCCUACGGGAGGCAGCAGGGGGGAAUAUGGCACAAUGGGCGGAAGCCUGAGGCAGAAACGCCGCGUGCGGGAAGAUGGGCUUCGGGGGGAAAACAGAUUUGGAAGGUGAAGAAGAGGGAGUGACGGUAAUGGGUAAGGAAGCAACGGCUAACUACGUG
This 468-nucleotide ribosomal RNA is filed under the name uncultured bacterium. RNAcentral's name for it is "partial 16S ribosomal RNA". It matches the Rfam family "Bacterial small subunit ribosomal RNA", at positions 28 to 507 of the family's 1533-position model. The record is from RNAcentral.